GGGGGUAGGCGGUAGUGGCGGAAGAGGUUCGGCGGCUGAUGGCGGAUCAGGAUCGGAAGCCUGUGUAACUUUCUCCCUUGAUCCGGGAGUCUUUCCACUGGAUUCACAAUGACAUCCUUUCAAGAAGUCCCAUUACAGACUUCCAACUUUGCCCAUGUCAUCUUUCAAAAUGUGGCCAAGAGUUACCUUCCUAAUGCACACCUGGAAUGUCAUUACACCUUAACUCCAUAUAUUCAUCCACAUCCAAAAGAUUGGGUUGGUAUAUUCAAGGUUGGAUGGAGUACUGCUCGUGAUUAUUACACGUUUUUAUGGUCCCCUAUGCCUGAACAUUAUGUGGAAGGAUCAACAGUCAAUUGUGUACUAGCAUUCCAAGGUAAGGACUGAAAACUGCAGAACUCAAUGAAACUAGAUGUCUUAUUGCCAUUAAAGAUGUUGUACUCCAUUGUAAUGAUUUGUUCAGGUAUCUCCAGGGUACCAAAGUUGAAUUAAUUAGUGUCUUUGCUUAGCAAAAGCCCUAAGAAUGUAACUGUCUAGUGUAGGCCACAUGAUAUUUUAUGUAGACAUUUAAAAGUUAUUGGUUGUUGUCUUAAC
RNAcentral lists this small RNA (591 nucleotides) under Pongo abelii (Sumatran orangutan). Its description in RNAcentral is "retained intron". Lineage: Eukaryota; Metazoa; Chordata; Mammalia; Primates; Hominidae. The record is from RNAcentral.